Molecule: long non-coding RNA, 3616 nt
Organism: Acipenser ruthenus (sterlet)
Lineage: Eukaryota; Metazoa; Chordata; Actinopteri; Acipenseriformes; Acipenseridae
Exons: 3
Source: RefSeq, a predicted model, not a curated record
AGAGGUUGAGUUUUAGGUGAUGCGAGAUAGCAGACAGACAGGUAGAGAUACGGGAGGGGAUGGUGGAGUCAGAGGUGGGGAAGGAGAGGAAAAUCUGAGCAUCAUCAGCAUAGAAAUGGUAUGAGAAACCAUAGGAUGCGAUGAGGGGGCCCAGGGAGCGGGUGUAGAGAGAGAACAGGAGAGGACCCGAGACUGACCCUUGGGGGACUCUGGUUGAGAGAGGGUAAGGUGUGGAUGUUGCUCCACGCCAGGUUACCUGGUAAGUGCGGUUGGAAAGGUAGGAGGAGAACCAGGCCAGAGCAGUGCCAGAGAUUCCCAGGUCAGCGAGAGAGGAUAGUAGAAUAGAGUGAUCGACAGUGUCAAAGGCAGCAGAGAGGUCGAGGAGAAUUAGGACAGAGGAGAGAGAGGCAGCUCGGGCAGAGUUUAGUGAGUUAGUGACAGACAGGAGGGCGGUUUCAGUGGAGUGAGCAGAGCGGAAGCCAGAUUGGAGAGGGUCAAGCAGAGAGUGGUUGGACAGGAAAGCAGAGAGCUGGCGGUGUACAGUCCACUCGAGGGUUUUGGAGAGGAAGGGUAGGAGGGAGACAGGACGGUAGCUCUGGAGGGAGGUGGUUUGUCUCUACACAAUAGUAAGUAUUUAUUUUAAACCAAACUUAUUUAUUUUUACUUUCCCUUAUUUAACACACAGUUAUUAUUUACAAAAUGUAUUCUUUAACCCGACUUCAUUUUUGAUCCCAAACUCUUUACAUUAUUUUCUUUGUUUACCAUCCAGUUGGUUUACGUUGUCUUUUCACAUUUUCCUCGUUUUCUUUACCAGUCCCUCACAAUAUAUUGUGCAACUUUAUGGUCAUUAAUAUAAAUAAAUAUUUACACUUGCAAGUUGAAUACAGUAAUUACAUGUCUCUGCUUUUGUAAUAAAUGUCCAGAGUAGAUUGCUUCAGCUUUUUCGUGCUUUUCUCAAUGCAUGCUGUUUCAAUCUUGUUAACCAGUUCCAGGUAAUGACUGUGUGAAUUUGUGAUUGCCUUUCUGAACUCAUCCAGUGAAGGGGUAACUGGUUCUGUGCCUUCUACGUCCUCAUCACCAGAAAUGUCCUCAUCCUGUCCCCGUCACUGUCAAUGUCACUGGUUCAAUAAUGUCCUCGUCACUCAUAGUUGCUCAUGAAGAGGCUUGGUUUUAUUCAAAUUCAAUUCCCUCCAGUUUUGUUUAUGAUAUUCCCAGUGUAUCGCAUUCCUCUCUAACAGACAGCAUCUCAUUCUCUUGACCACCCUUUCCUGCACACCAUCCAGCAUGUUUAAAGUAGUUCACAUGUUUCUGACAUCUGCUCCCAUGCACUGCGUGUGAAUUGCAUGGCUUGCAGAAUGUCCACCUGGAUUAUGGUUGCUGCUGUCCAUGCACUCAUCUCUCUUAGUAGAAAUGUUCUGUACCAGGAUUUGAAGCAUGAAUAACCCCCUGGUCCAUGGGCUGUAGUUCACUCGUUGCAUUAGUGGGUAGAAAGUGCACAGUAACUGCUUUCAGGUCUGUGAAAGGGUAGUGUCACGGCCAAGGCUGGUUACCAGAGACCAAAAACUCAAGUUUAAGUGCUGAUGCACCCAAGCUGUGCUGUCCCGGUGCCCAUGCCGAAAACGCAACAUGCUGCUCUCAGCCUUUCCCUUAAACUAACCCUUCCCAACAAAUGGGGUUUUCCUUCCUUUAUGUACAUGUGGCCAUUCCCCAAAUAGCACUCAAUUACCUAAUUAGAGAAUGGCCACACCUGUCACUGUGGAGGGAUAUAUUUAACCCCAUCUCUGCCAAAUGUGCAUUUACACAGCUAACACAUCACACUAUUUACAGGUCCGCCCUGCCACACACCUCUUCCCUUGUGCAAAACACACAUGGCCACCACCGGCCACCUCCCUCAUUGAUUAACUCCAUCCCACGUGGGUCGGAGGGAAUGUUGGAGCUCAGCCAGCCCCAGUCAAGGACUAGAUGGACAGGGCUGCCCUCACCAACCCAGACACCCUGUUGUCUGGUGCCAGCUGGCCCCAACAUUGUCUCCUGGUCUUCUGUGGUGACCCUUGCCUUCUGUAAGGAGGUGCCCGAUUAACUCCCUUUCUACCCCCUAAGCCCGGUGUCCCAUUUGUCCGAUCUCGGGGCUGCUCUCCAGAGAAUAAAAGUGCUUCACUGUAGUCAAAAUGCUCCAUGUUGGUGAUGUGUGUCUUACGCACAGUCAGUGGCUAUGACACCGUGCCUCUUUCUAUACAGGUAAGACUGUGGGCUAAUAUGUGGGAUUACUCUUAGCACACAAUGAACAUUCAGUACAUAAUCUCUCUGUAGGGCCGUUAAAGUUGUAGAUCCAAUUUUUGUGACAGUCAAACUCUGACUGUCCGUGUUGUCUUGUGUCAGAGCUGUUCUCCAGGGUGACUCUGACAGCCUCUCCAGGAGCCACAGUGAAGGAGGGAGAGGCUCUUAACCUGACCUGUGAGGCAGCAGUGAACAAAACCCCCCGCCCUGAACUCCACUACACCAUUGUGAGAGACGGGGAGCCUGUGACUAACAGCACUGACUCUGCACUGUACAGCAUAGCCAGCACUGAGAAGAGCCACACUGGGAGCUACACGUGUGCUGUGGAGUCACAGGGAGUGAAGAAGAGCAGCCAGGAGCUACACAUUGAAGUGCAAACGUCCUGGCACAGCGCUGUUGCUAUUGGCUACAGAGUGAGCUUCACUCUGAUUCAUUUCAUUGUGUUCACUCUGCUGCUCCUUCAAUACUGCAGGAUCCAAGGUUCCCUGUGUAUUGCUGGUGGUACAUCACGGUAAGACAGUAUUGACCAGUGUGUGUCCAGCCAGGGGGCAGCACUCGCUAUCUCUACCUGUCAUCAUCCUUUACAGCACUGAAAAUGGAGAUGGAAACUUUCUGACUCGCUCUUUAAGAAUCCCUCUUGCAAACUCACCUUCACUUUGACCUGUGUCCUGAAAUGCUGUAUUGGGUUAAUUUGGCUUUUUUGGUUUCCAGAUGAUAAAGAUUCAUUAUCAUUAUUAUUUGAUUCAAGUUCAAUCCAGGGUAUUUAAAAAAUAACCCUUUCAUCAGUAAUGUCACAAAGCUGCUGCCUCCACAGAGUGUCUUUACAGUUGAUACACAGCUGCUCCUUACCCUGAAAUGCACUCUGUGAUUUCAAUGGGACUUGAUUACUCUGAAGCCUAGAAGUGUCAUCAUCCUUUAAAGCUUCUGUUAUUGCUGCAGUUAAACUCUGACCCCUCCUUGUGUGUCUCUGACAUCUGUCUCAGGAAAACCUCGGAUCAGGAUCAGGAGCAGUCAGCAGAGAGGAUUGAGCUCUGCAGCCGUGUGCAGCACACUGGAGUGGAACUGCAAUAGUAUUGUACUGUCGUACUGAAGAUCAGCCUGACUGCCAUGUUUUAGAACUACUGUGAAUAUCUGUUCAAACUGCGGCUGUAGUUUACAGAAAAUGACCAUUGACUGGGGUAUUUUCUAAGACCUCAAAACAAAUGGAUUAUUCAUUGAUUGUUUGAUUGAAUUCAUUUAUUUAAUAGAUUGCUUGAUUGCACAGUGUAACUUGAAGUGCAUUACUGAAUAAUGUAUGUAUUCAUAAGCUAUCCUUUAGUCAAUAAACUGCUUUAUUCUA